Unclassified non-coding RNA from Pongo abelii (Sumatran orangutan), 148 nucleotides. It matches the Rfam family "Metazoan signal recognition particle RNA". Rfam says of the family: The signal recognition particle (SRP) is a universally conserved ribonucleoprotein. It is involved in the co-translational targeting of proteins to membranes. The eukaryotic SRP consists of a 300-nucleotide 7S RNA and six proteins: SRPs 72, 68, 54, 19, 14, and 9. Lineage: Eukaryota; Metazoa; Chordata; Mammalia; Primates; Hominidae. The record is from Ensembl.
GCUGGGUGUGAUGGCGCACACCUGUACUCCUAGCUUCUCGGGAGGCUGAGGUAGGAGAAUAGCUUGAGCCCAGGAGUUCAAGUUUACAGUGAACUAUGACUGUGCCACUGCACUCCAGCCUGGGUGACAGAGCAAGAUCCUGUCUCUU